Loxodonta africana (African savanna elephant) is the source of this 109-nucleotide small nuclear RNA. NCBI's taxonomy places the organism in Eukaryota, Metazoa, Chordata, Mammalia, Proboscidea, Elephantidae. The record is from Ensembl.
CUGCGCUUGCUUCAGCCCCACAUACACUAAAAUUGGAGCAGUGUAGAGAAGAUUAGUACAGUCCUUGCACAAGGAUGACACAUACAUUCAGGAAGCAGUUUUUUUUUUG